This 73-nucleotide transfer RNA is filed under the name Sphingobium fuliginis. RNAcentral's name for it is "tRNA-Ile". It matches the Rfam family "tRNA". From Rfam's summary of the family: Transfer RNA (tRNA) molecules are approximately 80 nucleotides in length. Their secondary structure includes four short double-helical elements and three loops (D, anti-codon, and T loops). Further hydrogen bonds mediate the characteristic L-shaped molecular structure. tRNAs have two regions of fundamental functional importance: the anti-codon, which is responsible for specific mRNA codon recognition, and the 3' end, to which the tRNAs corresponding amino acid is attached (by aminoacyl-tRNA synthetases). tRNAs cope with the degeneracy of the genetic code in two manners: having more than one tRNA (with a specific anti-codon) for a particular amino acid; and 'wobble' base-pairing, i.e. permitting non-standard base-pairing at the 3rd anti-codon position. Lineage: Bacteria; Pseudomonadati; Pseudomonadota; Alphaproteobacteria; Sphingomonadales; Sphingobiaceae. The record is from RNAcentral.
GGGCCGGUAGCUCAGGUGAUUAGAGCGCACGCCUGAUAAGCGUGAGGUCGGAGGUUCAACUCCUCCCGGCCCA